This 821-nucleotide non-coding RNA is filed under the name Leptogaster cylindrica. The record is from RNAcentral. Lineage: Eukaryota; Metazoa; Arthropoda; Insecta; Diptera; Asilidae.
CAUAAAUCAUGUUUUGAUUUUUUAUUUUAUUAAUGUAGGUAAAGUUUUAUUUUGGCUUAAAAAUUGCUUUUAUUUUGUUUUUCAUGUAAAUUUUUUUUGUGAAUUUAUUUAUAUUCUUAAUGAAUUAUAUAGUUUAUUUAUUCGCAGUGAAUAGAUUUUUAAAUUAAAGAAAUUUAGAUAAAUUAAUAAUAUUUAGUGUUGACUAAUUUUGUGCCAGCAGUCGCGGUUAUACAAAAAAUACAAGUAAUUUAUUUUUAUAAUAGUUAGGUUGCAAAUAUUAAUUAAUAAUUAAUUUUUUAGGUGAAAUUUUAAAUUAAUUUAUAUUAUAAUAUUAAUUAACUGAUUCUAGUAAAUUAAAAUUAUAAACUAGGAUUAGAUACCCUAUUAUUUUUAAUUAAAAUAUACAAUAUAAAGGUAGUAAUUGUUAAUUUCUUGAAACUUAAAAAAUUUGGCGGUAUCUUAGUCUUUUUAGAGGAACCUGUUCUGUAAUCGAUAGUCCACGUUAAAUUUUACUUAAAUUUGUUUAGUUUGUAUACCGCCGUUAUUAAAUAUUUCAUAAGAAUGGAAAUUUUUAAUUAUUUUUAUAAAAAUUUAUAUCAGGUCAAGGUGCAGUUUAUGUUUAAGUAGAAAUGGGUUACAAUAAAAUUAUUUAUAUGAAUUUUAUUUAAAAAUAAAUAAAUGAAGGUGGAUUUAAAAGUAAAAUUAUAAAUUAAGUUAAUUUGAUUUUAGCUCUAAGAUAUGUACACAUCGCCCGUCGCUCUUAUUUUUAAAGUAAGAUAAGUCGUAACAUAGUAGAUGUACUGGAAAGUGUAUCUAGAAAA